UUCAUUUUAACAGAAGCGCCAUCGACGUGGCUCAAGGUUGCCUGGCUAGUGGGUGGUGGAACUAAACCAACCCUGGAGUUAUGGCUCUCCAAACGGCUUUCCCAUCAGUGCAGGAGGGAGGCCGGGCAGGGGUUAUCUCUCUUCCUUCAAAGAUUUUAGAAACCGAGGCUCCGCGACUUGUUAAAACCAGACCCACUGGGUGCGCGACAGCACACCUUCUCCAGAAUCCCAGGUGAAGGCUAGCAAACCGCCAAGUCGAAUUCAUUCUCUCACACACUCCCAAAGCCCUGGAGCUGCAGGCGACCGCGGGUGGUUCCGGGGUGGGGGGUGGUCCGCGGCACAGCUCUCCUGGAGCUCCGGCGGCCGAGGGCCCUACCUCCCGCACACUGCCCAAGGCCGGGUCCCCGCACCCCAGCCAAACGCUGGGCCCACGGAGGGAUAGAGCCACUGGUAGCCUGGAGCAUCCGCGGGCUCCGGAGAAACCUCCCGGGCGCGCAGAGGAACCCGCGCCUCUUACCUCUGGGAGCCGCGCUCCCCGGCCGCGGCCG
RNAcentral lists this long non-coding RNA (548 nucleotides) under Rattus norvegicus (Norway rat). RNAcentral's name for it is "long non-coding RNA NONRATT022236". Lineage: Eukaryota; Metazoa; Chordata; Mammalia; Rodentia; Muridae. The record is from RNAcentral.